UGGAGCAGAUGUACACGGAGAUGGCGUCGCGGCACCGCGUGCGUGCCCCCUGCAUCCAGAUCAUCAAGACUGCGACGGUGGACUUCAAGCUGUGCAAGAGGGACAACACGAAGCAGUUCCACAACUCGAAGAUCAAGUUCCCGCUGGUGUACCAGAAGGUUCGCCCACCCACCCGCAAGCUCAAGACCACCUACAAGGCGACGAGGCCCAACCUCUUCAUGUGAGCGGGUCCCUACUCUACUGGCCUGUGUGUUUUAGCGUGUAAGAGUUUGAAGAUUUUUGCAUGUGGAAGUUUUGGUUAAGCACUUAGAUGAUGUUUUCGGUCGCUAAGGAUGCUGCUGCUUUGAUGCAACUCUUGACUUUGUUUGGUAUUAGUAAUGCGCAGCAGAUCCAUCAACUGCUAGCCCUCAGCUGCUAUGUUUUGGUUUGGUCUGCUUUCAAAUGCAGUCGACAAGUCUGAUGCCUGAAAUUAUUCCGUGCGCCCACCCUUUUAGGGCUGGUUAUUAGCGAAUGUAGACUGAAAUGAGUUAGCAAACGCAUUGAAACUUACAUCUGAUUCAGGAACGUCUAUAUGCACAUCUUAUAGGGAAAAUACACAGGAGCUUCAAAACAUACCAUGAAACGUUAAAAAAAAGGAAUUUUGGGUGCCAGAUCUACUCCGUGUGGAGUUCCGUGAAGAAAUGACAUUGAGAGCUCCAAAUCCUCAUGAGUAGGUACAGAAAUUUCUUCAUUUCAGGAAUAAAUAGGCAUGGACAUACCUGCCUACCAUACUGGUUGUUAAGUGAGUGGCAUAGUUAAAAUGUCGCUGCUUUAUUCGGGAAAUAUCAAAGGAAANNNNNNNNNNNNNNNNNNNNNNNNNNNNNNNNNNNNNNNNNNNNNNNNNNNNNNNNNNNNNNNNNNNNNNNNNNNNNNNNNNNNNNNNNNNNNNNNNNNNNNNNNNNNNNNNNNNNNNNNNNNNNNNNNNNNNNNNNNNNNNNNNNNNNNNNNNNNNNNNNNNNNNNNNNNNNNNNNNNNNNNNNNNNNNNNNNNNNNNNNNNNNNNNNNNNNNNNNNNNNNNNNNNNNNNNNNNNNNNNNNNNNNNNNNNNNNNNNNNNNNNNNNNNNNNNNNNNNNNNNNNNNNNNNNNNNNNNNNNNNNNNNNNNNNNNNNNNNNNNNNNNNNNNNNNNNNNNNNNNNNNNNNNNNNNNNNNNNNNNNNNNNNNNNNNNNNNNNNNNNNNNNNNNNNNNNNNNNNNNNNNNNNNNNNNNNNNNNNNNNNNNNNNNNNNNNNNNNNNNNNNNNNNNNNNNNNNNNNNNNNNNNNNNNNNNNNNNNNNNNNNNNNNNNNCCAAAGGCCCUGCUGCUUAAUUGGCUCGCCGGCAAUGCCAUUGAGUAUGAUCAUCGAGGAAAAGGAGCUAAGGAGGGUUGCUAUCCAAUCCCUAAGUUUGCUUGGGAAUCCUCGUCGUUGGAGUAGGCAGAGCAAAUACCCCCACUUAACAGUGUUGAAGGCCGUGCGGAUAUCAGCGAGACUGCGAAAAUACAAGAAGUUGUUAUGAAUGCUUGUUGUUUUGAUGAAAGUGCUUUGGGUGUUGUAGACGAGACUUGUCACGUGGGGACCAAGCCUUAGGAAGAGCACUCUCGCAAUAUUUUUUGCAAUCGCGUGGAUGAGGCUGAUGGGUCUAUAGUCGGCGAUUUGCUUCGCCCCUUCCUUUUUAGACAGAAGCACCACAUCCUCGGAGUUGAGCCACUGGAGGUUUGCAGUGUGAAGUGAGUCAAAAUUACUAAUGUCCCUCACGAGGUCGACUUUGACAAUGUUCCAACACUUCUUGAAAAAGAGGCCCGUGAAAGCCAUCCGGCCCCGGGGCCUUGUCACUUGGCAUGUCAUUGAUCGCAUCAAGGACAUCUCUUUCGGUCAUCAGGAAGUCAAUGCCAUGUAGGUCGAUUGAUUCCAAAUUUAGCCCCUCACAGUUGAAAUCUUUGCGGCUUUUGGGGCCUCUCUUCAUGACAUUGGAAAAAUGAUCUUGGAUUAGCUUCUCUCUGGCUUCGUGCUCGGUGACCCACCCCUGCUUGUUCUUACCUUUUGUCAUCGCCAUUGAUUAGCUCCAAAGAAUUCUUGAGGUUGCUACGAGAGAGGGGCUCCUUCGUAAAGUUAGGGGAAGGGGAGCCAUGAAGAGGAUCUCUCUCUCUCUCUACGCGGAUGACGCGACCGCCUUCUUGGCCCCAAUCAAAAGAGACGUGGACAACCUUGCAAGCAUUUUGAGGGGCUUCGGGGAGGCCAUGGGUCUAUGCACCAAUUUCCACAAGAGCUCGCUUGUGCCCAUUCAUUGCAACCACCUCAAUUUGGGUCGCCUAACCCAAGGAUUGCUAGCUACAAGGGCUUCCUUCCCUUUGCGAUACCUGGGGCUCCCUUUCUCAGUUUGGCAACUAAAGUCGGUGGAUUUUCAGUUUUUAGUGGACAAGGUUGCGAGCAAGCUAACAACUCAUGAGGGCAAACCGGAAAAGCAUCACCACCAUCGGACAAACGACUCUAGUCAAGUCCAGGAUCACCUCCCAGAUGGUCUAGCCUGCCACACCGUUGGUCAUCCAGCCGACCAUCCUUCUCAAUGUAAACAAGCUCGAGAUAACUUUCCUAUAGUCCGGGUCGAACAAGACGAUUGGGGCAAAACGCGAGGUAAAUUGGCAGAUUAUCUGCCGACCACUCCAAUAUGGAGGACUCGGGGUUCUCAACACCAACAAGUUUACACGUGUUCUCCGGUUGCAAUGGUCGUGGUAUGGAUGGAAGGAGCCUGUCAAGAUGUGGGUGGGGAUGGAGAACCCAUGUGACGAGGAGGACCUAAAUUUUUCUAUGCUUCCACCACUAUCAUCGUUAGUAAUGGUGCGAAGACCCCGUUCUCGGACUCUCCUUGGCUUCUUGGGAGCAAGCCAAAGGACAUUGCCCCGCUCAUUCAUGAAGCAUCCAAGAGAAAUAAUUGGAUGGUUCAGGAGGCCCUCAAGCACAACACUUGGAUUUUCAAGAUCAAACCUCCUGCCAACAUCUCCGUGGAGCACAUCACACAGUUCUUUACCCUUUGGGCGCUCUUGCAUGAGGUCCAACUCGAUGAGCUCUCCGAGGACGACAUCCUAUGGAAACAUAUGGCUAGUGGGCUCUACUCGGUGGCUUUCGGAUACUAGGCGCAAUUCCUAGGGAUGGUUCUCCCACCUAUGGACAAAAUGGUUUGAAAGGCUUGUGCUCCUCGAAAAGUCAAGUUCUUUGCGUGGUUAGCUCUACGAGAUAUAUAGAAUCUGGACCGCGAUAGAUUGGCAAAGUGUGGGUGGCCCAACUGUGAUUUUGCCCUGUUUGCAAGGGAGUGCAAGAAUAUGGGACUCACCUCGUCUACAAAUGCCGCUACACCCCAAGGCUUUGGUCCUUGGUCAUUGACAAAUACCACAUUCUCGGGCUUGGCAUAACCGCUUGGCCCUUGUUCGACUCGGUUGAGGCUUGGCGGGCAAAUACUUGCGACAACGGCACAUGAAACUGUAGGAUCGAAAGUAUGUCUAGAGGGGGGUGAUUAGACUACUUGACCAAAUAACAACCUUGCCUUUUUCCAAUUUUAAUUCUUGGCAGAUUUUAGCAACUUAGCACAAGUCAAGCAAUCAACCUACACAUGCAAUUCUAGAGUAUAGCAGCGGAAUGUAAAACAAUUGCAUAUGAAGGUAAAGGGGAGGAGUUUGAGGAGGCAAACACAAUUAGGAGACACGGAGAUUUUUGAGCCGUGGUUCCGAUGGGUGGUGCUAUCGUACAUCUACGUUGAUGGAGACUUCAACCCACGAAGGGUAACGGUUGCGUGAGUCCACGGAGGGCUCCACCCAAGAAGGGUCCAUGAAGAAGCAACCUUGUCUAUCCCACCAUGGUCAUCGCCCACGAAGGACUUGCCCCACUAGGGGUAGAUCUUCAUGAAGUAGGCGAUCUCCUUGCCCUUACAAACUCCUUGGUUCAACUCCACAAUCUUGUCGGAGGCUCCCAAGUGACACCUAGCCAAUCUAGGAGACACCACUCUCCAAGAAGUAACAAAUGGUGUGUUGAUGAUGAACUCCUUGCUCUUAUGCUUCAAAUGAUAGUCUCCCCAACACUCAACUCUCUCUCACUGGAUUUGGAUUUGGUGGAAAGAAGAUUUGAGUGGAAAGCAACUUGGGGAAGGCUAGAGAUCAAGAUUCAUAUGGUAGGAUUGGAAUAUCUUGACCUCAACACAAGUGUAGGUGAUUAUCUCUCAGAAAAUGUAAGCUGGAAGUGUAGGCAUGUUCUGAUGGCUCUCUCCACGAAUGAAGAGUGGGUGGAGGGGUAUAUAUAGCCUUCACACAAAAUUUAACCGUUACACACAACUUACUAAACUCGGUGGGACCGAAUCGUUAAACUUGGUCAGACCGAUUUAGCAAAUAAUGUGACCGUUAGGACUUUCGGUGGGACCUACAUGUCAACUCGGUGGGACCGAUGUGGUUAGGGCUGGGGCAUACCAUAAUCUCGGUGAGACCGAUUACACAAACUCGGUGGGACGAUUUUGGUAAUAAGCUAACAAGAGAGUUGGUCAGACAAACUCGAUGGGACCGAUUCGCUCAUCUAGGUUAGACCGAAACGUUAUGAAAGGGAAACAGAGAGUUUGCAUUGCAGUCUUGGUGGGACCGAUCGCUCAUCUCGGUUGGACCGAAACGUUACGAAGGGAAACAGAGAGAUUACAAUCCCAUCUCGGUGAGACUGAUAUCCCUAUCGGUGAGAUCGAAAAGACUAGGGUUUGUGGCAGUGGCUAUGGCAUCUGAACUCGGUGGCGCCAGAUAGAAAGAAUCGGUGGGGCCGAGUUUGACUUUUGGUUUAGGUCAUAUGUGGAUGUGAGAAAGUAGUUGAGGGUUUUGGAGCAUCUCAGUAAGAAUUUUGAGCAAGAACCUCAUUAAGCAACACCUCACCCCUCCUUGACAGUAUUGGCUUUUCCUAUAGACUCAACGUGAUCUUGGAUCACUAAAAUGGAAAAAAUAGAGUCUUGUGCUUUGAGCUUGAGCCAAUCCUUUUGUCCUUAGCAUUUUGAGGGGUCCACUUUUCUCAUCCAUGCCAUGCCAAUCAUUGAGCUUUCCUAAAAUAUUUUCCUUGAAAUAGCAUUAGCUCAAUGAUCUAUAUGUUGUUAGGAAUUACCAAAACCACCCAGGGAUAGUUGCACUUUCAAUCUCCCCCUUUUUGGUAAUUGAUGACAACAUAUAUAUCAAAGCUUUGAAAAAUGAUAAUAAGAUUGAAAAACAUUGUCGCUUUGAGAAGUAUGUGAAAAGUAAGAGCUCCCCCUAAAUUUGUGCAUUAUUUAAGAUUUGCUUUGGACUGCAAAUGCACAAUGAGUUAGGAUCAUGGGUUACUCUUCCACGUCACAUACAUCUUGGUGGAGUGCUUAAAAUGAUAAUAGUUAAACACAUGCACUCAUCACCAAGCAAAGUGAAUGAUCAUAUGAGAAUAUGAGAGAUAAUAUCAUCCAACAAGCAUUAAUGUAGCAUAGCAUAUGAUCAAACACAUGAUCAUCCAAGUAUCUCACAAAAGACAUAAUGUAUCAAGCAAACAAGCAAACAAGAAGUUCAACCACCAAAAAUAAGAGAGAACAAAAGCAACACUCUCUCUCGAAGCCUAUGAUCUAUACAUUUUUCUGCCCCUUUGGCAACAAGUUACCAAAAAGUUCAUAGAAAAUGCAUAGUGCUAAACGACUCUCAGGCUUGAUCUUCAGGUGGUGGUGUAGAGAUGACUCCAAGGACAAAAGCAUCAGUCGAUGAAGAUGGAGCUGGUGGAGUGACUGCUGGAGCUGGUGGCACUGAAGCUGUAGCUGGUGCAGAUGAUGUAGCUCUGGUAUCUGGGAUAGGCACUGCAGCAGAUCUCUGUCCUCUGGGCACCCUAGCAAAUGCAUGUGUAGUAGUCUUGCCCUUCUUCUCCUCCAAUUCCUCCUGAAGUUGCUCAAUAACUGAUUGGAUCUCAGUGACCUUCACAUCAAGAUCAUAGAACUUCUGCUCGAUGAUUCUCUCCAAACUCUCCUGGUUUUGAGUCAGGGUGGCCAAGCCCUUCUCAAUCCUCAAGGUGGAGGCAAUCAAGUAGCCAAGCUGAUCUUGCUUGCUCUUCAGGAAAUACUGAGAUGCCUCUUCAGCAGUUGGCAUCCUAGUUGCUUUCUCAGCCCUUGCUUUCUCCUUCUUCUCUUGUGCUUGCACAGAUGAUGGUUCAUUCUCAUCCAUCACAAUGGUGUUGUCCUCAAAGUCAGGGUAGAUGGGCAAGUGCUCUUUAUCAAAAAGAUAUGUGCCAGUGCCCAUCUUGGAGUUUAUGAGCUCCUGAAUUUGUGGGGCAUAUCCACAUGAUCUCUUCUGAUCAGCAGCAGACCUUUUGAUUGUUUCCACAAUCAGACUCAUGACUUUGAAUUUCUAAGGCACAUCAAAUAUAUGUAGCAUGUUGAUUGCAUGGCCUCUGAUCAUCUUGUGAUCUCCUGACUUGGGCAACAGAGUGUGCCUUAAGAUCCAGUUGAUAGUUAGCAAUCCUGACAACAGAUAAUGUACUGAUCCAAGCUUAUGUGUCUCUAGAGCAGCAUCUGGGAUCUCCCUAUACAUUUGAGCCAUAGAGUUGUGGUCUUUCUUCUUGGUGGCAUAGACAUCCAAGUCAUCCUCAGUCUCCUUUGGAGCAUUUAUCAAUUCAGACCAUUCCUCAACUGUAGAUUGGUACCUUGUACCCUCAGACAUCCAGACAAUUCUCCCAUCUGGGUAGAAGUGAGUUGUAGAGUAAAACUGCAUGAUGAGCUCAUCAUUCCACUUGGUGAGCUUCUGGCCAACAAAGUCAUCUACUCCACAAGCGUUGAAAUUGUCAUACACUCCUGGAUAAUGCUCUUCAUUCUUCUUGAUCUACUCCCAGUCAACCCAUCUCAUAUCACAUACUAUGGGCUUCUUGUCAAGCAAAACUGUCUCAUAGAAAUCCUGCUGUUCUUUAGUGUGAAACCUGUAGUCCACAACAGUUCUUCUUCUGACAGCAUAGGGAUCAGUUUGUCUCCACAGUCUCAGACCUGCAUCCUUCCUGAGCUUCAUGUCCUCAGCUACUGGAUGCGCAUCAUUAUGAUCAGGGAUCUUAGGCUUCAACUUUCUCAAAACAAGUGAUUCAUCAUCUUCUUCAUCAUUAGCUGCCUCAGGCACUAGGGCCUUGUUCUUUUCUUCAGCUGGUAUGUUCCUAGUGCUCCUCUUAGGUGCAAUCUUGGGCUUAGGAGCAGCAGCUUUGGGAGCAUCUUUGGGCUUAGAUGGAGCAGCCCCUGAUCUGAUUGCAUCUCCCAUCAACUUCUGAGCUUUAGGUGCUGGUGCAGCAACCUCUUCCUCUUCUUCCAUCAUAGAGGGCUUUCCAACAACUCUGGAAACUGUCUUCUUCCUUAUCCUAGUAACUACCUUGGGCAGGUUACUAGGUGUGCUCCUGCUACCCUCAUCUAAGGUACUGGAGGGACUAGUGCCCUCACUCAUCUGUACUUGCUCCUCUGACCUGUUCUAACUGUCACUCUGAUCUGACAUGAUGCAAACUUCUGACAGCAGACCCUGCGAAUAGAUGUGGAUGAGGUAGAGUAGAUGAGCAUCACCAAGUACGAAUAUUUUUGCAAAACAUUGAGUCAAAAACUUAGUUUUAGUUUUCCAAAGAAAGCAUUUCGGAGCUACCGAUUUGUAAACUCGGUGAUACCGAAGUAGCUUUUGGAACCUAAACUAGUGAACUCGGUUGGACCGAGUCACAGUUCGGUGGCACCGAGACUGCUAGGGUUUCAUAGAGAAUCGAUAUUGGUCACACCGAUUUGCAAUUCUCAGUCGGACCGAGAACCACAUGUGCAAUAGCCUAAGCCAAAUCGGUGAGACCGAUUUCUACAACUCGGUCGGUCCGAGAUGAAUUCGCGGAAACCUAACCCUAAAUUUUCAAUCCAAGUCUAAACUAUGGAGUAUUUUCGCUGGAUAGGAAGAGUUCAAUCGUGGCAAGAUUUAUGGCAAUGCAAUGUGCUAGGAAUCAGAGUGAGAAUAGCACAAAGAUCAAGUCCAUACCCUAAUGUGACGGUGGACUUGCUACGGCGGCAACGAUGGAGCUGAAUUCUGUUGACGGCGGCGGAGACCAGCGGCGGGAGGUCGCUGGCGACGAGGAGGAUGAUUCAGAGACCCGAUGAGGCAGAGCAGGCUGUGCACAGGCAAAUAGUUUCAAAAGAAUUUCCAAAAAAAUCACCCGUGAGUAUAUAUAGCCUGACCGUGUUGGUGUGACCGAGUGAAACAACUCGGUGGCACCGAGAUGCAAAACUGCAAGCAGUUGCUGCAACUCGAUGUGACUGAAAAGUUCAAAUCCGUUGCACCGAGAUUGAAAACCUAGAUCAACUUAGUGAUCUCGGUAUGACCGAAAUGGAUGAAUCGGUCAGACCGAAAUGCACAAAGAGGUUUUGGAAGUUUAAGUCUUUGACAAAUCGGAAACUCCGAGUGCUCCUCACACAGAGUGGUUUGAAUCUGACUUGAUCAAACUUUGUGAUAUAGCAUGAAUAGAGUAUGAGACAAGAAGAGCAUAGAUAGCUAGAGAAGAUUCUUAGGCAUUCUUGUCCAUCCACUUGGCAAAAGAAAAGAAGCCAAACAAGCAAAACAACAAGUGGAUGUCCUCGAAUGAGUAAAAUAUGCAAACGACAUGCUCACACAAUAAAAUGGCAAAUGAAAUAUGUGACAAAGCAUGCACAACCAAUUCUAGCAUCUAUCAAGCAAUUGGCGAUGACUAGGUCAUCUAUAUAUGAGUAUAUUGAUUUAGGAGUCAAAUGAGAACAUUUGAUCAUAGGUCAUACUCAUCGUUUAAGCACAAGUGGGGUUACCACUUUUUCAUAAAGCAUUGUUAUGUUCACACCAUUAGAGUUGCUUUAGCUCAAUUCUUAGAGUAAAGCUCCCCCUAGAUGUGAGAUUCCCCCUUAGAGGGAUGAACUAACCUUGGGUUUUGUCAAUGAUGACUUCAUGUAGGUUUUGAAGAUGUGGAUGCUCUAUGUUGAUGUAGAUCAUUUGGAGCAAUCCUUUGGAGUGAGUUGUACUUUCAAUACCUACAUAGGUUAGUCCCACAAGGAACAAACAAGGAUAUCCAUAGACAUAGAGUGAUGCGCACACAAGAAGAUGUCUAUGAAAGCUUUAGGUUACCUUGUCCCUUGUCUUACCAACAAGAGGGUUUGUGACUCCAUGAACUAGUGCAAGAUGUGGAAGUUGAUUGCACUUGUCCUCGCCAAAAUGAUAAGAGUGAGGUAUAUUGGCAGAGUCACCCUCAAGAACUCUCUAGUUCUUCUUCUUCGGGAUCCACACCAUCUUGAUAGGAAUCCUUGGGGUUGAAGUCGUUCUUGAUGAAGUAAAACUUGAUGUAGUCUUGGGAACCCACUUGACCAAGGCCUUAGGAGCUUCUUCAAAUGCAUCAAUCUCCUCUUGAAGCUUGUCCUUGCCUUUCUGCUUGUGGUCUUGUGGUGGAAGAUCAUCUUGAGCUUGUGUCCCUUUGAAAGAAGUAGGAUCAUACUUCUCUUGUUGAGGAACAAACUUCGUCUUGGGGUAUUGAUCUUCUUCUCACUCGACUCCAUUGGCAUUGAACUUCCGUUCAAAACCAACACCUUGGUUCUUCCGGUGCCUUCCUUGCUUGCGUACAUUUUCCUCAAAUUGCUUACUCCCAGCAAGGCUCUUGUAAACACCUUUCUCUAUAAUUCCCUUCAAUAAGCUAUUUUCUUGCUCAAGUGUAACUUGGCUAAGAGAAUCAUUAGUGGAAUCAAGAGAACUAUUAGAAGCAACAACAUUAGAUUUAGCAUGAUGAUUGUUGUUACUACUAGAGGAAGAAUCCUUUUUGUUACUAGACUUGACUUGUGGCAUGUAAGUAGAGAAGAGUAAAUGCUUGGCAAUGUAAGAAGAACUUUUCUUGCGAAGAUCAUCAUUGAUAGCCUUUAAGAACUCAUGCUCUUGCUCAAGGUUGAGCUUCUCAAAGCGUAACUUCUUAUGAGUCCUUAAAUGUUCUUGAUUAUCUCCUAAGAUAGUUUCAUGAGCUAACUUAAGAGUGUUUAGUUCUUUAGUUAGGAGCUCAUGCUCUUGCUCAAGGUUGGGCUUCUUAAAGCGUAACUUCUUAUGAGUCCUUAAAAGUUCUUGAUGAUCUCCUAAGAUAGUUUCAUGAGCUAACUUAAGAGUGUUUAGUUCUUUAGUUAGGAGCUCAAUCUUCUCCUUAUCAUUGUCAUUCGUUUCAUCUUGAUUAUCAUGAUUAUAUGACGUUUCAUCAUAGUAUUCAUCACUAGAGUUGUCAAUAAGUAAAUCAUCAUCACCUAGCAAGUCAUCUUCAUUACUAUUGAAAUCAACAUACUCGGGGUGUAAUACCUUUGGGCAUUUAGCCAUGAAGCAUCUUCCAAGUCCUUCAUUUGGUGAGUCAAAUAUGUCAUAGGAGUUGGUUGACACAAGUGCUAGUCUGGCAACACCUUCAUCUUGAGUAUGUUCUGAGUCGGAGUGAUAGCUUCUCUCGGAGUGAUGGUCGGAGUCGGAGCCAGAUACCCAUUCACCAACAUGAGCUUGAUGUCUUCGUUUUGUAUAGAUCUUUGAUGACUUGUCCUUCCUUUCUGAAUCCUUGCUUCUCCGGGAUGUUCUUCGUUCAUAACGAUCAUCUCUACUCCUCCUCUCUCUUGGUGGUGAUUUUUCUCAUCUACUUCUUCUCUUUGGGGAUUCUUCUCUUCUUUUGUAGGGAGCCGUACACUCAUUGGAAUAGUGUCCGGGUCUUCCACAAUUGUAGCAAUUACGCUCACGACUCGAAGAUCUUUUGUCAUUGUUGGACCUUGACUUGGAACUUCUUUCCUUGCUUCUACUCUUGUAGAAUUUGUUGAAGUUCUUCACCAUUAGGCUCAAUUCUUCAUUGAAGGUUUGUUUCUCACUUGAUGAUGUGGGAGCUUCACAUGAGGCUUUGUAAGCACCACUUGACUUGUUGUGAAGCUCUUCCUUAUCCUUGAGUGACAUCUCAUGAGCAACAAUUCUUCCAAUGACUUCCGUUGGCUUGAGAUUCUUGUAAUUGGGCAUCAUUUGGAUCAAUGUGCACACGGUAUCAUAUUUUCCAUCCAAGGCUCUUAGGAUCUUCUUGAUGAUGAAUUUGUCGGUCAUCUCUUCACUUACUAAGCCGGCAAUCUCAUUUGUGAUGAGAGCAACCAUAGAGUACAUUUCAGCGACGCCUUCACCAUCCUUCAUCUUGAACUUGUCAAGUUGACUUUGAAGCACAUCCAAUUUGGAUUCCUUGACGGAGUCAGUACCUUCGUGCAUGUCAAUCAAAGUAUCUCAAAUUUCCUUUGCAUUCUCAAGACGGCUGAUUUUGUUGAAUUCUUCGGGGCAUAAUCCGUUGAAGAGGAUAUCACAAUCUUGAGUAUUGUAUUGCAGCAUCUUCAAUUCUUCCGCGGAAGCUUCACGGUUCGGUUCUCUCCCAUCAAAGAAUUCACCUUGCAAGCCAAUAUAGACAAUAGUCCAAACGGCGGGGUUAUGUCCAAGAAUAUGCAUUUUCAUCUUAUGCUUCCAACUAGCAAAAUUAGUACCAUCAAAGUAAGGACCUCUACCAUGGUAAUUUCCCUCACUAGACGCCAUACUCUCCUAGGUUGUGAAACCAAGGCUAUGACUGCCAAAAGCUAUGGAAAUCAAAGCAAAUGGAGACCAAAGCUAUAAUAUCACUUGUAGGAUCGAAAGUAUGUCCAGAGGGGGUUGAUUAGACUACUUGACCAAAUAAAAACCUUGCCUUUUCCCAAUUUUAAUUCUUGGCAGAUUUUAGCAACUUAGCACAAGUCAAGCAAUCAACCUACACAUGUAAUUCUAGAGUAUAGUAGAGGAAUGUAAAACAAUUGCAUAUGAAGGUAAAGGGGAGGAGUUUGAGGAGGCAAACGCAAUUUGGAGACACGGAGAUUUUUGAGCCGUGGUUUCGAUAGGUGGUGCUAUCGUACAUCCACAUUGAUGGAGACUUCAACCCACGAAGGAUAAGGUUGCGCAAGUCCACAGAGGGCUCCACCCAAGAAGGGUCCACGAAGAAGCAACCUUGUAUCCCACAAUGGCCGUCGCCCACGAAGGACUUGCCUCACUAGGGGUAGAUCUUCACGAAGUAGGCGAUCUCCUUGCCCUUACAAACUCCUUGGUUCAACUCCACAAUCUUGUCGGAGGCUCCCAAGUGACACCUAGCCAAUCUAGGAGACACCACUCUCCAAGAAGUAACAAAUGGUGUGUUGAUGAUGAACUCCUUGCUCUUGUGCUUCAAAUAAUAGUCUCCCCAACACUCAACUCUCUCUCUCUCUCACAGGAUUUGGAUUUGGUGGAAAGAAGAUUUGAGUGGAAAGCAACUUGGGGAAGGCUAGAGAUCAAGAUUCAUAUGGUAGGAUUGGAAUAUCUUGACCUCAACACAAGUGUAGGUGAUUCUCUCUCAGAAAAUGUAAGUUGGAAGUGUAGGCAUGUUCUGAUGGCUCUCUCCACGAAUGAAGAGUGGGUGGAGGGGUAUAUAUAGCCUCCACACAAAAUCUAACCGUUACACACAACUUACCAAACUCGGUGGGACCGAAUCGUUAAACUCGGUCAGACCGAUUUAUCAAAUAAUGUGACCGUUAGGAUUUUCGGUGGGACCGACAUGUCAACUCGGUGGGACCGAUGUGGUUAGCGUUAGGGCAUAACGUAAUCUCGGUGAGACCGAUUACACAAACUUGGUGGGACCGAUUUUGAUAAUAAGCUAAUCAGAGAGUUGGUCAGACAAACUCGGUGGGACCGAUUUUGGUAAUAAGCUAACCAGAGAGUUGGUCAGGCAAACUCGGUGGGACCGAUUCGCUCAUCUCGGUUAGACCGAAACGUUACGAAAGCGAAACAAAGAGUUUGCAUUGCAGUCUCGGUGGGACCGAUCACUCAUCUCGGUUGGACCGAAACGUUAUGAAGGGAAACAGAGAGAUUACAAUCCCAUCUCGGUGAGACCGAGAUCCCUAUCGGUGAGACCGAAAAGACUAGGGUUUGUGGCAGUGACUAUGACAUUUGAACUCGGUGGCGCCGGAUAGAAAUAAUCGGUGUGGCCGAGUUUGACUUUUGGUUUAGGUCAUAUGUGGAUGUGAGAAAGUAGUUGAGGGUUUUGGAGCAUCUCACUAAGCAUUUUGAGAAAGAACCUCAUUAAGCAACACCUCAUCCCUCCUUGAUAGUAUUGACUUUUCCUAUAGACUCAACGUGAUCUUGGAUCACUAAAAUGGAAAAAAUAGAGUCUUGUGCUUUGAGCUUGAGCCAAUCCUUUUGUCCUUAGCAUUUUGAGGGGUCCACUUUUCUCAUCCAUGCCAUGCCAAUCAUUGAGCUUUCCUAAAAUAUUUCCCUUGAAAUAGCAUUAGGUCAAUGAGCUAUAUGUUGUUAGGAAUUACCAAAACCAUCCAGGUAUAGUUGCACUUUCAGAAACUGACAGGCCAAGGCGUCCCUCACCAUGCUUGUUUCGUGGACUAUCUAGAACGAGCAAACCGCAAGAGUCUUGAAGUAGAAGAGCACACCACCGAUAAUAUUGCUUGCCUCCAUCACGACCGAGGCCAACCUUUGGAUCAUUGCCGGUGUGAAAAAACUAGGGUCCAUAAUUUGGCGAGAGUAAUCUCAUGUCGUGUAUUCGGGUUACUUGUAACAAACUCUAUCUCUCUUAUUUAAUAGAUGAAGCAAAGCUUUUGCCUCCGUUUAAAGAAAACUCGCUAGGGUUUCAAUCUAAACUUAGUUCCAUCCGUUAAGAUAUGGGAGCAUCACCCCAUCUCGACAAGCUAAAAGGCUCGCCGUGAGAGCACCAGACACUACUAGGAAAAGGCCUACUAAUGGCGCAUCCUUUUUGCCUACUAAUGGCGCACUACCGGUGCGCCAUUAGUAGCACGCCAUUAGAAUUUUUUACUAAUGGCGCACCACUGGUGCGCCAUUAGUAUCUGGUAUACUAAUGGCGCACCUGGCAGUGCGCCAUUAGUGUGUAAAUCCAUGCGCCAUUAGUAUGCCUCCCGGGGGGCCAGAUGUAAAACCAUGUGCUUUGUCACACUAAUGGCGCACUCUGCCUUGAUGCGCCAUUAGUAUCCUUCGGCAUAUUAAUGGCGCACUCUGCCUUGAUGCGCCAUUAGUAUGAAUUUUUUUUUUGAAUAUUUGGUUUUUUUUCUUUUCUGAUUUUUGCACAGGUUACAAAAUAUAUUAUUGGACAGAAUAUAGACAGCAGCACACAGCAACAUUAGAUUCAUCGAAUACAAUAGAAGAUUAGUCUCCGAAUACAAUUCAUCAUAUUAGUCUCCGAAUUCAAAAGACCAAACAAAGAUAAAACAUUACAAGUCUCAAGACCGCGAGUAUCGAGUUUGUCUUCACAUUACAAGUCGAUAUCGAUCAUCUAAACUACCAUCACAUAAAAGAGAGUUGUGGUCAUCACGAUGAGCAUCAUCGCGAUCAAACUGGUCCCCGACGCCACUAGGGAUUGUGUAAUCAGGAUCGGUGUCUUCCGCGGCGUCCUCAUAGCGGUGAGGUUGUUCCUCCAUCUCCUGGGACAGCUCCCAGAAUUGUUUGCCGCCCGAACCACCGGCCUCAUUGUUGUAGGCCAUGUUUCGCUCUAAAUAGGAAAAAAGUUUGGUCAAAAAGUUGGUUAUUGUCAAGGAACAAGAUCAUGGUCUCAUCAUUUAGGGUUUGUCGACACCGAGGCACCCUAAAAGCCUAAGCUUUCAUCAUUUAGGGUUUGUCGACGCCGAGGCACCCUAAAAGCCUAAGCGUACAUCAUUUAGGUUCUCAUCGACACUGAGGCAUCCGGGGCAGCCAAGUUAAGUUUUCAUCAUUUAGGGUUUAUCGAUGCCGAGGCACCCUAGGUUGGGCCUAAUCACUUGGCACUAAUCACUUGGCUCUAUUGCCACCUAUGUUGGGUUUAUCAUCUAGGGUUUAUCGAUGCUAAGGAGAAUUCUAAGUUGGGCCUAAUCACUUGGCUCUAUUGCCACCUAUGGUUUAAUGCAGCAAGGAAAAUUUCAGCAUGACCUUUGCUGAAAAUAGGACAUAUGGAGUACUCGAAUUUGCCGGAACAGAAGUUAAUCAACAUUCCGACAAACUCAAGGGCCUCUCGGGGUACCUGCAAAUUCAUCACGACACGAUGGUCGGAGACAUGACCUUUGCAAAAUGGUCGGAGACACGAUGGUCUUUCUCAAUGUGAUCAAUUGAUGGAUCAACACAUAAAACAUGUCCAAUAAGUAUGAUUUAUAGAGUCAACAUCAGUAUGAAUAUAUAUAAAGUUUUUCUUCAUCAGCCAGGCCCAUGCAAGUAACUGCAUCAGUAUGAAUAUAUAUAAACAAGCAAAGAAUGCAUGCAAGUUUAAAGUAAAACGUUUCAGUUAAUGCAAGUACUCCUCUUGCUCUCUACUUUCUCUCUUCUCUUCUUCAGUUAAUUAACUGAAUUUUACUGAUGUUGUUGUUAACUAAAUUUUAAUCAGCUGCUGAAGAACACCUUCAGUUUUGUCAGAUAUAGGUGUAGUUUUCAGAAACAAGAGGGCCCAUGUCUCCCCUCCUGGACGUUUCAGAAACAGGAGGGCCCACGUCUCCCCUCUAGAGUUUUCGAGGGCCCACGUCUCCCCUCGAAAGGGCAGGACGUUUGAGUUUUCGAGGCAACUCCCCAUGUCUCCCCUCCACUGGCAACUCCCCACGACGCCUCCUAUUCCAUUGCCACGUCCAGGUAACUCCCCUCCUAUUCCAUUGCCGCUCCAUCUUCCUCCCUCUGCCUCCCUCCUCAUUCCAUUGCCGCUCCAUCUUCCUCCCUCUACCUCCCUCUGCCUCCAGCAUCAAGCAACUCCCCUCUGCCUCCACCAUCGCUGGCCAGGAGGGCAAUGGCGGAGGAAUCGUGGAGCAACUCCCCUCCAUCUGCCAAGAGAAUGGCGGAGGCAUCGUGGAGCAACUCCCCUCCGUCUGCCAAGCAUCACCGUGGUGAGGCGUCUGGCAAGGAGCCGCUGGUGGUCGACGACGAUGUUCCGGUCCCCGGGCAGAAGCGGGACUACACCAUGCCGCUCAAGGUUGAUAUCCACCUGAAGGAGCCGCUGGAUGUCGUAUGCACCAGCAAUCCAGACGAAGCCGACAAGAUGAUCCACAAGAUGAGGAGGAGGCUCGGCGGCAUGCUUCAUCGGAAUAUCAGCGUUGAUGUCGAGUAUACCAGGGAAGACAAACCUCCGCAAAUUGCUGCAGUUCUGCAGUUAUGCAUGGAGGAUCUCGUCCUGGUAUACCACAUCACCGCGACAACCAAAUGGUAAAAACAUCCAGUUCUGAAGUUUCUGUCUAAUUAGUAGUUUCUGAAGUAGAUGCAAUAGUUAUGAAGUUCCGAAGUAGAUGCAUACUAGUUCUGAAGUUAUGAAGUUUCUGAAGUUCUGAAGUUUUGUUUUAAUUAGUAGUUUCUGAAGUUUUUGAAGUUUCUGAAGUUUCUGAAGUAGAUGCAAUAGUUCUGAAGUUCUGAAGUAGAUGCAAUACUAGUUCUGAAGUUACGAAGUUUCUGUCUAAUUAGUAGUUUUUUGGUGAUCAUACAGAAUGUUGUCUACAAGUUUUUGUGAUCAUUUAGUAGCUGUUAUGAAUGUUGUCUUGUAAUGCAAAAGAUUGCAAAAAAAUACAUCAUUGAGAUGUUAUGCUUGCUGUUUUGAUCAUACAGAAUGUUGUCUUGUAGUUGUUGUGAUCAUACUGUUUUAACUGAAUUUUGGUCAGAACUGAAGAUGCUAUUUUAACUGAAUUUUGCUUCAACUGGACCCAUUUUAAUUCUGUAGUUUCUGAAGUUUUUGAAGUAGAUGAAUUUGAUGCACCAGAUUAAUUUGAUGCAGGCCCAAGGAACUCCGCCCGCUCCUGCAAGAGAAGAAGCUGUACACCUUUGUUGGCUUCUGCAUUAGAGGCGACAAGGAGAAGCUGAAGUUGUCUGGUUUGGAUCAACCCCGACAAGUACGUCGACUUGCAGCGCAAAUGGAGAGUUCCAAACAAUGGAAAGAAGUGGCAGGCUUUGGCUGAGUUUGCAGCCAGCCUCAUCCACCCAUCCUACUCAAACAUGAAGCAGAAGAUCGACAGGAAUUUGGACCACCUACUAUGGGGGGACAGCCCACUGCCAAACAAGCUCAUCGAGUACACCGUGAAAGAUGCGUACGUCACCUACGAGGCAUGGAAGAAAAUCGAAAUCACCAAAGAAGGUUUGGAGCUCUGGCAAGAGGCGGAGGAAAAUUGGGAUGACCCCUACUACUGGGGAUAUUGAGUUGUUUGUGGUAUUGGGAUGACCCCUACUACUGUGUCUCAGUUUGUAGUUAUGUGGUUGAACAAGUUUGCUUUUGUUAUGUUGAACAAGUUUGCUUUUGUUAUGUUGAAUAAGUUUGCUUUUGUAAUGAUGAACAAGUUUGCUUUGGUUGUCAGUUGACAUCAUCUCAUCGCUGAGCAUGGUUUAGUUUUACCUUUAUCUAUUUAUUAUUUAGGCAGAGCUAUUCAGGCAUGGAAGAUAUAAUCAUCCUUAUGGUUACAAUGACACAUGAUCUUUCCAACCACAUAACUUAACUGCAAACAUUUCCCCUGUAAAUUGUAGUUACACAUUCCAACCAAUACCUGCAGGUUGUAAUUUCAUACUGAAUGACCAUCAAUGACUAAGUGAAGCAAAUAAUUGCUAUGCAAAUAAUUGCUAUAAUAAUCCUUGUAGUUACACAUUCUCCUCUUGCUCUCUACUUUCUCUCUUCUCCUCUUCAGUUAAUUAACUGAAUUUUACUGAUGUUGUUGUUAACUGAAUUUUACUAGUUAAACACAUUAUAACUUGAGUGUAACUCAGGACAAGUUAAACUUAAGCUAGAAGAUACAAGUUGAACACACACCAGGCAGUUUUUAUAAUAUUAUCAGAAAAAUAUCUUCAGUGUAACUCAGGACAAGAAAAAUCUCCACCAGAAUAGGACUAGCAUUUAAGAGUAAUUUCCUCCAGUCAAACAAAGUUCAAACAAAAACUGACAACAGUCUUUUGAUUAAGAGCCAAGUCACAACACUCUUUGAAGUUCAAACAAAAACUGACAACACUUGUUUGAUCUGUCUCCUCCAAGAAAGAGCCAAGUCAGUCUCACCCAACUAGGGAAACAUCAGUUAGACCACUAGCAAUUGGGAAUACACAACUGGGGCUAGGUUUGUGCUCUAGCUAGGCAGUAAAACAGAGCAUAUAGAGGCAUUGCCUGCCUCUGCUGCAAGUGGGGAUGUGAGCAGGAUUAUCACAAUUAGAUCACUAAUUUGCUGGAAUCUUAUUUACAAUUUUCUUCAAACUAGUUACCACUCACUAGUACAAUGUUUUCUAAACUGGUUGCCAUCAUCUCCCUUUUUAUCAUUUUGGUUAUGUGAAAUUAGUUAUAGUGAGUGGCCAAGCAAUCACUAGCAAUUUGUGCAUAACAAUUCCCGGUAGUUUUACUUGUAAGCCCCCCUCUUCUGGCAACCUAGUAAAAAAAUUAUACUACACAGGAAGCAUCUGUUUCCAUCUCUCUGUAUAAAGGUUUAGCAUUUGGCUGAAUUGACUGAACGAGAAAUGGGAAAAACUAACAACUCAAACAGAAUGAUGCCACUGCCGUUCGGCGCUACUGUUGGAUUGAAAUACUACAACCGGAAUCAACAGGAUUAUCGCUGGUUUGCUGGACAAACAGAGUGUUUGCAAGAAGGAAGAGGGGAGAGGAGGCGGAGCUCACCGGGGAGGCGCAAGGAGGCCCUGCGACAACUUAGUAGCAACAGAGGUGGCCGAAGUUGAGGAAGACAGCGGCGACCCGAGGAAGAAGAGGUGGAGGGGGAGGGGGGUGGAGGGGUCGAGCGCCGUCGCGCCCUGGUUCUGCGGCUCGCCGGCCCGGUGUUGAAGCAGAUUCUGNNNNNNNNNNNNNNNNNNNNNNNNNNNNNNNNNNNNNNNNNNNNNNNNNNNNNNNNNNNNNNNNNNNNNNNNNNNNNNNNNNNNNNNNNNNNNNNNNNNNNNNNNNNNNNNNNNNNNNNNNNNNNNNNNNNNNNNNNNNNNNNNNNNNNNNNNNNNNNNNNNNNNNNNNNNNNNNNNNNNNNNNNNNNNNNNNNNNNNNNNNNNNNNNNNNNNNNNNNNNNNNNNNNNNNNNNNNNNNNNNNNNNNNNNNNNNNNNNNNNNNNNNNNNNNNNNNNNNNNNNNNNNNNNNNNNNNNNNNNNNNNNNNNNNNNNNNNNNNNNNNNNNNNNNNNNNNNNNNNNNNNNNNNNNNNNNNNNNNNNNNNNNNNNNNNNNNNNNNNNNNNCUUGCCUGUCGCCUCGCACGGUGGAGCUCGAGGGCUGGGAAGGCGAGGGAGGGGGUGGGUGGGUGCGGUGAAGGCGAGGGAGGGGGUGGAUUGGGAGCGGACAGCGAUGGGGGGCAGGGCAGGGGCUGACUGGGGGCGGCGACGGAGACGGAGGCGCGGGGGCGGCGGCGGCGUGGGUCGGGGCAGCGCGCGGGUGGAUCUGGUGGCGAGGGAGAGAGGGUCGAAGGAAGGGAGGAUAGCUAGGGGGAGGGUUCUAAUGGCACACCGUCCAAUCGUGCGCCAUAAGUAUGACUAUUCUAAUGGAGCACCACACCACGGUGCGCCAUUAGAAUUUUGUUUUAAUCUAGCCCACUAACCAUAUCUACAACCUAACCCUAUCUACACCAGAACCCACCCACUAGCCCGACUGGUCAGCACGCAGCACACACACUAGGAGGUCUUGGGUUUGAUUCCCAGGCUCCCCAAUAUUUUUUUAUGCAUUUUAAAUGCUGUUUUUUAUAUUUAUUUGUGUUUAAAUAUGUUCAAACUUGUUUAAAUCAUAACAGUAAUAUAUUUUUAUAAAAACAGUAAUAAUUUUUUAAAAAAUAUGUUCAAAUUUCUUACUUGAAAAUAUCAUCGGCGGCGGCGGUGGAGCGGGGGAGGGUGCGGGGAUCGAGAUCGAGAUGGAGGGGGAAUCGAGAUCGAGAUGGAGGGGGAUCGAGAUCAAGAUGGAGGGGGAUCGAGAUCAAGUGUCCUCAUGAAUUCAAAAAGUGCCCAUGACAUUUAAAAAUAUUCAUGAUAUCAAAAAGUGCCCAUGAAAUACAAUCGAGAAAUGAAGACUACGAUCUUCUUGCCCUUCUUUUUCGCAAAUGGAGUUCUUCUGUCGAAUGGACGUCCUUUAGGUAGGGUGGUCCUGCUUCUUCUUGUGGUGUGUGCUGCUACUUCAUCGUCGUCGUCAUGUUCGAUCUUCGGGUUGCUGUACUUGUCGAAGUCUUGCUCAUUGGCUACUCCAUCCAUUCCGAUGAUCUUCCUUUUGCCUCUCCUCACGACAACACGACUGGGCUUUGGCGGGUCGGUAAUGAAGAAGCAUUGGUCCACUUAGGAAGCCAGUACCGAUGGCUCAUUUUUCGCGGUGACGUUUGCGCCCGCAGUCUUGGAUUUGGCUUCGGGUAUAAACACGACUGGGCUUUGGCAUAGUGCGCCGUUAGUAGGUUUGCAAAAAAGUAAAAAUAUAUAUAUACUAAUGGCGCACUGUCUCGGUCGUGCGCCAUUACUAGUUCUAACUAGUAAUGGCGCACUUUGCCAUCCCUGCGCCAUUAGUUUGUAUGGAAAAAUGGGGAAAAAAUCAAUAGUAAUGGCGCACCGUGAGCACGGUGCGCCAUUAGUGUCUUCCACACUAAUGACGCACGAGCAAUCCAUGCGCCAUUAGUAUAUAGUAGUGGCGCACUACUUACCUGGUGCGUCAUUAGAAUCAGUCCUAUCUAUAGCUCUUUUCCUAGUAGUGAGAAGGUGAUGGCCUAUCUGACACUAUCAACCCCAACAGGGAGACGAUGGCGUCGUUCGCCAUGCUCUCUUGGACCAUAUGGAGUGAAAGAAAUAGUACAUGUUUCUCCACCAUCGGUUCUUCUACUUAAUAUCCAGAAGAAGAAGAAGGCCCUUUGGAUGGCCAUGGCCCAUGGGUGUCAAUGAGUUGCCGCAAGAGUAAUCAUCUCUUUUUUUUUAAUCUUUGGGUGUGUUGUAAUACAAAUAGACUUUAUUUUUCUCUUAAUUAACAAACGAUGCAAAUCUUUUGCCGCUGUUUUUUUUAAAAAAAAAUCUGCACACCAGAUGGUUUUGCUGCUUCGAGCCCUGCACGACCAUCCCUGGCUACCACACCAGAAUAGAAUUGCAUUGAAUUGAAGUUUAGUGUCCACCUUCGCCCCCCAAGCCCCGAUCGACCUGUAUCCUGAAGCUCUACGUGCCGACGAUACAUGUCAGCAACGGGCAGGAACAAAAUCACUAAUCACCCGCCAUAAAAAAUGCAGGCACGCAACUUCUUCCAUCGAGGAUUUUUCAUCACCCAGGGAAGCACUGGGCUGGGGGUCUCCGCACCCCCAGAGUCGCACAUGAAUGGAACAAAAUCUGGUCGGUGCAGAUUUGCCUUCCCCAUCACCAAGGACCAAGCUGCUCCAAAGCCAGAGUUGCUUGCGACUGCACAUUUGUCACCACCACACGCACAUCACUGCAUGGGCUGGAGCAGGACAGGGCGGGGGAAGCAGAUGGUAGUGGCACGGAGGAUGCAAGAGGCUGCUCACUCCCCAUGGCCCAAGCCACCGUGCUUCUUUCAACGACAGUUUGUGUGCCGUGCAUGGACUUUGUAAUUGCGUGGGACGGCGCUGGCCCAUGGCGCGAUGAGUGCGUUCGCGGCAGAAAAAACAGUGCAGCCCCAUUGUCAUCUGCCUGUCCUUUGGCACAAAAAACAAUUGAACUAAUGCAUGGCUCAUGUGCCUGUCCUUUCUGAAUUUUCCUUCUCAUCUGCCUCAAUGAACCGUGGCUGGCAAUCGCAUCACGUUGCAUCUCGCAUGUGACCGCGGCAGAUUAAGUGCGCCAUUUGCCUGCUGGAUCCUUCGCAGCCUAGCCUACUAUACAGUACUCCUUCCGUCUCAAAAUAAGUGUCUUGAGCUUAGUACAAAUUUAUGCUAGAGCUAGUAUAAAGUUGGAGUUAAUUGCAAAAAACCACCACAUUUGGGGCUUCUUCUGCAGAAAACAACCUGGUCUCUAAUUAUUUGCAAAAAGCACCGCACAUUCGGUAAACUUUUUGCAAAAAGCAUUGAUCGCUUGAUUUGCAGCCUCUGAGGGCGUUUCCGACAGGUGGGACCCAAAAUAGGUGACGUGGUGUAAAGGCAAGGCGGACGGCGCCGUUACUCACUACCUGGUCAAACCGACGCGGUCGGCUCGCCCGACCGCACCAGCUCUCUCACAAAUCUCGCCCGCACUCUCUCUCCCUCCUUCGUGCUCCCACUCAUGGCGACGACGAAAUCCCGCGAUGGAGGCGCUGCUGAUGCUAGGUGCGGCGCUGAUGGAGAUCCGCCGGAGUUAUGUGGUAGCUCAAAUCCAUCUCAGCCGCCGCUUCCUCCCCAACUGCUCGCGGCAAACCCAUCAGUUGAAUCUGCGGCGGCGGCCGCGUUCGCCCGAGCUGUGAAGGAAGAUCCGACGGGCAGCCAAAACUGGGCAUCCUCGUUCGGCGGCGUCUGGUAAGUAAUGCAUCCGCGUUCUCCCUUUUUCCCCGAUUGGGUUUGUAGUUUAGGUUUCUAGGGUUAGGCUUCUCGGUUUAGGGUUGUAUGGUUAGGGUUCUAGGGUUAGGGUUGUAGGGCUGGUGUUCGUCCAGUUGGGUUUCUAGGGUUAGUGUUCUAGGGCUGCUGUUCCUGCGUUAGGGUUCUAGGGUUAACUGAAAUUUUGUCCAAAUAUUUAAAUGAACAUUUGUCUGAAUAUUUAGGGUAUUGAAGUGUUAAAUUUACUGUUUUAGUUGAAUUAGUAACUGAACACUAGUUAAUUGAACAUUUUACUGAAGUGUUACAUUAUAUGUUAAUUGAACAUUUGUCUGAAUAUUCAGCAAACUAAAGUGUUAAGUUUACUCAUCUGUCUGAAUAUUUAGUUAAUUGAAGUGUUACAUUUACUGUUUUAGUUGAAUUAGUAAUUUAACAUUUGUUAAUUGAACAUUUUACUGAAGUGUUAACUUAUCUGUUAACUUAACAUUUGUCUGAAGUGUUAAUUUUUUGGCAUUUAACUGAACUUGUAACUGAACAUUUUACUGUAAUUUUACUGAAGUGUUAACUUAUCUGUUAAUUGAAUAAUCUUUUAACUGAACUUUGAAUAUAACAUUUAAAGUAGCUUUGUACUGAAUAUUUUACUACAAUUUUGUUUGUAGUUUGGAUGAUGAAGUCUGGGAAGUCAGAUUUCAUUUCUUUGACAGAGAUAACUUUGAAAGAAAUAUAAGCCUGUCAGACAUAACUUUCUAGAAUCUAGUUGCACUUGUAGAGAUAGAAGGCUAUUCUUGUAGAGAUUAUAUGUAUUAUGUCAGAGAUCCAGGUGUUGGGGUGUCAGGAAUGGUAGAGUUAACAGAUGAUGACAAGGUGGAGGAGAUGCUGGAUGAGCUAGCUAGUAAAGGAGAAACUGUGGUUAAUAUUACAGUAAUGAGAAGUGAUGCUCCAACACCAGCUGAUUUGAACAGAGGCACUGUGUAUGAAGACCAAGUUCCUUUGUCUGAAAUAGGUGAGCCACUUGUGUAUCAGAUAGAUACAUCUGAAGUACUUUUCCCUAGUCCAGUGAAGCCACAACCAGAGCCAGUCCAGGUCAUGCACACACAUGAUAGCAUUGAACUAGAAUUUGUAGUCCACAAUGGUGAGGAGAGGCAUGCGUAUUUCAUGGUCAUUGAUCAGGAGCAAGAGCAAAUAGAGCAACAAAUGGAGGAGAAUAGGAAUAAAGAGAUUGAGAAGUUCGGGAGCAAUAAGAAAAGAAAAGAGAAAUACAGAGCAGCUAAAAGGAAACUUCCACAGUUGCUUGCUGAAGAUUGCACUGACAGUGAUACUGAUAGUGAGAUUCUAGCAGAUGAGGACAUAAUUGUUAGGCUAUAGGCAAUGAAGAAACAUAGAGAUGAUCCACUCAACCACUUUGAAGGGGACACUGAUGUUGAAGAGCUAUAUGAACCAGAUGAGGAGGAGGGAGUUCAUGAGGAUGAUAGGGUUAUUGCAUUUUGCAGUAGUGCAGAAUGCCCUUUUUUCAUUGCAGCCUCUCAGAUAGCACAUGAUAAGACAUUUUGCAUAAAGAAAAUGAACUUGUACCAUAAUUGUGCUGCAGUAGGAGAGAGCACCAAAGUAACUGCCAAAUGGUUGGCACAUGAGUGUGAGCAACAGUUGAGGACAGACAUUAACACACCAGUCCAAUCCAUAAUUGAGAAUUUGAAGCAGAAACAUGGCAUAGAAGUGUCCAUUCACAUGACCUACAAAGCAAGGAAAGUUGCUAAGAGUGUGGUGCAAGGAGAUCAAAGGGCACAGUAUACAAGGAUAAGGGAUUACCUCCAAGCUGUAUUGGAUACCAAUCCAGGAAGUAGAUGCAUUGUUAUAACAAAGCAUUUGAGGGCACAUCCUAGCAAGAAUCCUAGAUUCCAUGGCUUGUUCAUGUGCCUAAGUGCAUGCAAAGAGGGUUUCUUAAAUGGCUGCAGACCUUUCAUAGGUACUUAUUAUGCUAAUUGCUUGUUCAUAGGUACUUAUUGUGCUAAUUGCUUGUUCAUGUGCACUACUUUAUUUCUAAUGUGCUCUGUGUUGUUGUAGGUGUUGAUGGUGUUUUAUAAAGCUUACCACAGGGCAGCAAAUCUUGGCUGCAACAGGAAGAGAUGGUAAUAACAACAUUUUCCCUAUUGCAUUUGCAAUAGUUGACAAAGAAGACACCGCAAGCUGGUCCUGGUUUUUAACACAACUCAAGUAUGCCAUUGGUGGUGAGUCUGGGAAGUAUGGCUACUACACUAUCAUAUCUGAUAGACAAAAGGUAAAACCAAAAUCUGCUCCUCUACACUAUCAUAUCUGAUACACUAUCAUAUGUCAACAAGUGCCUUGUUAGUUACACUUUAGUUGUUUCAAACAGGAUCUUCUUAAAGCCAUAAAUAAUGUCUUUCCAAACUGCCCACAAAGAUUCUGCCUUAGACAUAUUUAUCAGAACUUUCAAACUGCUGGCUUUAGAGGUGAAGAGUUAAAGAAAUACAUGGAUCAGGCUAGCUAUUCAUAUACUGAGCAUGGAUAUGAUGUAGCAAUGGAUGGCAUGAAAAGAGAGUGUGAGGCAUCUUGGAAAUGGCUUAGUAAGAUUCCCAAACAUACAUGGGCUAGACAUGCCAUGGACAAUAAUUGUAAAACUGACUUGGUUGUCAACAAUAUUAGUGAAGUGUUUAACAACAUGAUACUUGAUGUCAGAGGCAAGCCAAUUAAAACUAUGGUUGAUGGGAUCAGAACUAAGUUGCUAGUUAAGUUCAACACAAAUAGAACUAAGACUGAGACAGCCAAGUGGCAGAUAUGCCCAACAUAUGCUGAAAAGCUGGAAGAAGCAAAACAUCAUUCAAGAUACUGUCAAUCUAUCAAAGCUGGACCUGAUCUAUACCAAGUUACACUACAAGAAACAUGUUAAUUCAUGACGGAUUUCUGGUGACGUUCCUUAGUUCGUCAUAGAAAUCGUCAUGAUUCAUCAAGAUAAGACUGGCCUGUGGAACGGUAGCCCCUUUAUGACGGCCACAGAGGAUCCGUCACGGAAUCCAUCAUGGAUCAACCAGUUGGACCAUCAAGUGCCGACGUGGCAUGUUGGGUGGAGUAGAGAACGAUCCUGCGUGAGUCAAAGCAUGCGUUUUGAUUGGUCAAUUCAACCCGCCCACGGAUCGAGCUCCCAGCCGUUCGAUUCCCCAACAUCCAACGGUUGUUACACAAUACAUAUCCUUUCUUCUCUCUCCCCUACCCCACAGCCGCCGGCCGCCUCCCCUACCACUUCUCUAGUGCCUUCCUCGCAUCUCCUCCAGCCGUUGACUUCCCCGAUCUCCGCCAUGCUUCCCCUCCCAGCUCCUCUCUCGUCGGAUUCUUCCAGUCAAGGCGCUCAGAGACCGCACCACCGGUGUGCCGUCCAGGCCGCGUGGGCGCACCGUCCGGGUAACCCACACCAUCUAGGGCCCGUGUACGGCCAGAUCCGGUGAUCUAGCAGGUGAAUCCACCAUACUAGCAACGUCGGCUGCUACCUCCUCUCCGACUACGACCACCCCACCACAUCAAUUUGAGCGCGCGACCCUCUGCUCCACCCAGCCGCCGCCCCAUCCAUGACCAGAACCAGCGAGAUGUCCACUUCCAGCCGCUAUUGACUUCCUAAUCUCGACGCCGCAUCGUCUGUUGGUGGAGGCAGCGACCGGAUCCGUCGAGGUCGCGCCGGGAUCCCGAGCUUUUGGUCCUCCCUGCCUUCUCCUUCAUCGACGGCAAGCAGCCUAAACGUGCAGGCCGCGCUUGACUGGCUAACUGCUCCAGCCAGAGGAAUGCGUUAGGUGCGACCCAACGCCGUGUGGUGCUGCCGUGCGCGACGUCGGCGGGCAUCGCCUCACCGUGGUGCCACUCCGAUAGCCAACACUGGCGCCCAACUCGGAUCUACUGAACCUAGGCGCUGGCUCCGGUGGGCAUGUGAUUCUGCGUUCAUCAGGAGAGCAUCCAGUCCCCUAUUUCUGAGAUUCAUUAUUAGUUCAUAUCUGCAUGCCAAUUCUUUGUUGUGAGAUUUGUUUGGCUGUGUUAGGUUCGCAAACUAGAGACUUAGAUGGCUUGAUUUGAGUUGGGAUGCUACUUCGGUCUUCAAGAGAUCUGGGCGGACAAAUCAACAGCUUCUCUCAUGGGCUCCGUUCUCCUAUGGUUUUCUGAUGGCUCAACGGCGACGAGAUGGAUGGACAAAUCAGCAGACUAGUUGCUGUAGAGAGAUUUUGAGGGAGCAGUUUUUUGUUUUUUACUAGUUUCUCUGCAAUAGGGAGCUGCUGUAAAUGUGUUUGUGUGCUUCAUUUUCAUUUUAUUUCUGGCUGUUAUUUUUCUUUGUGUGCGUUGUGUAAUAUUUUUAUUUAAUGAUAUGAGCAAAAAUCUUUUUUUUGACAUAUUUCUGCUAGAAAUCUCAACAGACAAAAAAUAACGUAUCUUGUCUAAAGAUGCUUCUAGUGGAAACUAGAUGGCAAAACUCUAAUUGGGCCACAACUAUAAUCAAUGGGCCGAGAUUCUAUUUGGACUGAUAAUAACAUGGGCCAAAACUAGAAAGUGGAACAAAAUCCUAAUGGGCCAUCAUGUCUGAUUCACGUUGGCUGCCAUGUCAGAUGAUGACGUGGCAUGCGCGCUAAUGCCGUUGUUAGCACGUCUGUUAAGUGGCAUCAAUGACGGUCAAGAGCCGUCAUGGAUCCAUGAUAAUCGAAUUAUGACGCGAUAUACAUGACGGACUUCAUGUCCGUCAUGGAUGAUCUUCCGUGAUGGUUUUUUACCGAUUUGUGACGGACCAGGACUGUCAUGGACUAACAAAAUUCUUGUAGUGUUACAAGUGGAGAAAGUGCAUAUGCAGUUAAUUUGCAAGCAUACACAUGUGGUUGUAGGAAAUGGGACAUGAUAGGGGUUCCUUGCAAUCAUUCAGUUUCUGCAAUCAACAAGGCAAAAUUACACCCAGAAGAUUUUGUCAAUGAUUUCUUCAAGAAACCCAUGUAUCAAGCAGCCUACAGUGCAAUAGUUUACCCUGUACCUGGGCCUGAUCUAUGGCCAAAGACUGGUACCCCUGACAUAGAGCCACCAGUUUUCAAAGAAAAGCCAGGAAAAAAACAAACUAAGAGGAGGAAGAGUAGGUUUAAGAAGCCAGCUCCCAAGGAUACUUCUAGGAUGGGUACAAUCACUUGUAGCAAUUGUAACCUGGCUGGGCAUAGGUACACUAGCUGCCACAAGACUCUUAAGCCAGCUCUGGCAAUGAGAAGGAACCAGCAUGAGGUAACUUUGUGACUAUCUUGUAAACUGUCUAUGUUUAUGCAAGUUUCCUAUCUUAUAUAAUUUGUCUAUGUUGUAAUUCCAGGAAAAUAGAAGAGUUGAAGCUGGGACAGCUCCAAGGGCACCAACAAGAGCCACAGCAACAGCAAGCAAAGCUCCAUCAGCUCCUCCUGCUCCAAGGGCACCCACAAGAGCUACACCAGCAGUACCAAGGGCAGCUCCAUCAGCUCCUCCUGCUCCAAGGGCACCCACAAGAGCUACACCAGCUGCAAACAAAGCUCCAUCAGCUCCAGCUGCAUCCAGGAGAGCUCCAAGGGCAGCUACUACUAGUGCAUCUUCUGCUGGGCCCAGUUCCUCUACAGCUGCUGGGCCAAGUACCUCUACUACUUCUGCUGCUAGGCAAAAGAAAAACUUCAUCCCUCCAAGACCAGCAGGUACUGGAAGAUUCAGAAAACCAUCUUUUAAGAUGGCUGAGUGGUUCAAUUGUUCUAAGGGAAGCAGGUAAGUUUGUGGUGUCCUGCUGAUGGUAAAAACAUUAUGAAGCAUGUUGCCUAUGUUGGCACGGUACUAUUUAUGGUUGUGUUGAACUCUGGAACUGGUGAUGCUUGAACUAUGUAUGGUUGUGUUGAACUAUUUAUGGUUGUGUUGAACUAUUAAUGGUUGUGGUGAACUAUGUAUGGUUGUGUUGAACUAUUUAUGGUUGUGUUGAAGACUAUGGUUGUGUUGAAGACUAUGAUGCAUGAUUGUUCUUAUGAUGCUAGUUAUGUUCAAGAUUUUUUGCAUGAGUACUGUUUAUAGUUAUGUUGAAGACUAUGAUGCUAGGUUAAAGUAGUCUUCAUCACAAACCAUAACAUAAAAUGAAAGAACACAUCAAAUGACCCAACUUAGUACUUAAGAUUCAUAGUUCCAGGACAUAACUUAGUCUUCAUCACAAAUAACCCAACUACAGAAUUAAUAGAGUUCAACACAGCCAAAGUUAACACAUUACAAGCUUUAGUCCAAAGCGAUUACAAAAGACAAUGACCCACAUGGUCAGACUACAACUCAACUUAGUCUUCAUCACAAAUAGUCUUAAUCUGGUGAAGCUUCCUCUUGUUACUAUCACCUGCUGUCUUGAGCUCAACAAUGCAGGAAGCAAGAGUACUCUUCUCCAUGGUCAACUUCUCCUUCUCUUUCAUCAGCUCAGCAAUGCAACUAUCCACCUGAUCCUUCUCUUUCUUCAGGUCAUCCUUCUCUUUCUUCAGGUCAUCCUUCUCUUUCUUCAGGUCAGCAUAGCAAAUCUCCAAAGUCCUCUUAUCAGAGCUCAUCUUUUCCUUCUCUUUGAGAUGCUUGAACUUCAAAUUCCUAAUGACAGUGGCUUGAGCUACAUGAAUUAACUUUAACUGGUCAUGAGCAACCUUCCAUUUUUUGAUCUCCUCAUCCUUUGCAAAGUUGCUGUCCACACUGAUUGUAAUGUUCUCAACAGCAUCAUUCAUCUAAUUUACCUCAGGCAGGUUAUCCUGUGAAUCUAGGAGGUUGUUAACAUCUUCAACAAGCUUCUCAUAUGUCUCCUGCAGAUCUUUUUUUGCUGUGUGAGUAUGUGUACAGUAGAUGAAUGAUCCAGGCAUGCCAUCCUAUUGUCAUGCUGGCUACGCUCAUACAUAAGCCACAGCUUGUGAAGAGCAUUCUGCAGAUGAUCUGGCCACUCCUCAUCUACCCACUGCACUAAUCCACAAUUAUUAGCACCCUCAAAAGAAGUUACAAAUUAAAUUAGUGACAAAAAAAUCAGUUAAGUUAAUGUACCACAUUCAGUUAGGUUAAAGUAGAAGAUUCAAUUAAGUUAAUUGAUCGGAUUCAGUUAAGUUAACUGAUCAGAUUCAGUUAAGUUAACUGACCAUAUUCAGUUAAGUUAAUCUACCAUAUUCAGUUAAGUCAAUCUACCAUAUUCAGUUAAGUUUAUCUACCGGAUUCGGUUAAUAAAGAGUUACUAUCAACCAUAGAACAGUUACUGCGAACCCUAGAACAGAACAUGAACAGUACCUAUGAACCCUAGAACAUGAACAGUAAAUAUGAACCCUAGAUGAUGAAUUGGACCGUUGCAAAGCUAGGACUAAAUACUUACUUCAGUGGCACAGGCAAUGAACCUCCUCCCAGUGCUUAUCCCCUCGAAUGCAACACAUUUCCUCCCUGGAUUCCCAUGCUCGCACAUCACCAUCAAAUCGUCAGCAGCACCCUCGAACAACGGGUCAUCAAUCGUGGCUGGGAUCUGGGCAAUCCAACACAAACUUGUUCAAAUCGAGCAGAACUACUAGUAGAACCCUAGAACACGAACUCCCUAGAACACAAAUGAGCGGCGGCCAAAACAAACAGAGAACCAGAGGAACAACUGACCUUCAGAGGGGAGUCGGGAGUGAGGUUGUACUGCGCGGCGGAGCCAUCAGUGCUUUCGCUCUCGCUCCAGGACACCAUGGCGGCCCGCGACUGCCGGAGAGGAAGAGGAGCACGAGGGAGCGAGAGAGUGCGGGGGAGAUUUGUGAGAGAGCUGGUGCGGUCGGGCGAGCCGACCGCGUCGGUUUGACCAGGUAGUGAGUAACGGCGCCGUCCGCCUCGCCGUUACGCCACGUCACCUAUUUUGGGUCCCACCUGUCGGAAACGCCCUCAGAGGCUCCAAAUCAAGCGAACAGUGCUUUUUGCAAAAGGUUUACCGAAUGCGCGGUGUUUUUUGCAAAUGAUUAUAGACCAGGUUGUUUUCUGCAGAAGAAGCCCCAAAUGUGGUGGUUUUUUACAAUUAACUCACAAAGUUGAGACACUUAUUUUGGGACGGAGGGAGUAGUAGUAUUUAGCUAAAGUAGGGUUGCUUUGAGAGAGGACUAAUGAUUUGCUCUAAAAAAGAAGAGAGGAAUGAUUGCUCUUCCUUUGGAGAAAAGGCUAAAAAGAAGGUCCAGAUGCAUGGUCGGUUGGCCGUUCAUUAUAUGUAUACAAUGGAGAUACGCAUGCAAUCAUUUUCGUGUAAAAAACGCUCUUAUAUUAUGGGACGGAGGGAGUAGCUAACUAAUCUCUGCAUAACUAAUUUCAGACACGAUCUAGUGCUUCUGUUAUAUCGCAAGUCUAAUCCCCCAUCAUCCGGCCAUCAGUGGAUCUAUUUGAUAAUGAUACCCCUCAGGACUCGAUCAGGACAGCGUAUCUUCAGACGAACGUGUAUAAAAAUCCUGCACGAGCAACAAUGUAUUCAGUAGCAAACGGACAGCAGGAGGAUGCUACAAGAGUGAUAGAUGUCAUCAUGGUUGCUGAUCGAUCGAGCUCAUCGCUUUCCGCUUGUUUAGCGCAGCGAAAUUCUCUGACUCUGACUUGACCACACUGAUCAAGCAGGACCAUGUGGAUAUGUUCCUCUGUCGUCAUCGACAGGGACUCGCUAACAGAUCCUCCCAUUAGCAGCAACUACUGCUGCGACAAACCUUCUGUUUGAUUGACAAAAAUGCAUGCAGCUGCGUCAGCAAAUACUUUCCAACCCCCGUCCCCGAGCUUUCCUAAAUCCUAAAAGUAAAGGGCGGCGAUCGAAGUAGAAGUACCAACGGCACAAUGUCAUGAGCCUUCUCAGCUCUCAGCUGAUUCAUCAUGGGGGGAUUAGCCUCCUUCUGAAAUGGCUAUUCUUCACAAAGGAUAUACUAGUUUAAUUCACAUGAUCUUACCGCAAAAAUAAAAUAAAAUAAUAAUUCACAGGAUCCGCGAUGGCUCCUCUUGAUCGGACCAGCAUCUUGCAUGGAGAAUGCCAUGGAUGGGUGCAGAGAGGGGGAAGGUAGGGUAGAUAGCAUGGAGUCAGGGGCAUUAAGUUGUUGGGAGACCAUGCAUGACGCUGGACCCUAGAACUCACUAGCUCCUGCCAAGCGAGGCUUUGCGGCGCCCAAUGGUGAUGGUGGCCGAUCAUUAGCCCGCCGUUUAAGCAACGUUGACGAACUGCUCCAUAGCCAAGAUCUGGAUCCCAGGUUUUCGUCGCGACGACAUUGCAAGCAAAUCUACUUGGAUAGUUGGAUUAAUGCUCUUGUUCUCUAGUUCGAAGUUUGUUCGGAUUGAAAUAUGGUAGUACAGUCGCGGCCAUGGUGAUGAUAGUGGCUGCUCCCCAGGGCCCAAGCCACCAUGCAUGCUUUUUUGCAACAACAGUUUGUGUGUCAUGGACUUCGCAAUUGUGCGUGUGCCGGCCCAUGGCGUGAUGACUGAUGAGUGCACUUGCAGAAAAACAAUCGAACUCAUGCACAGUCACUCCAUCAUGUCAGCAUCUUUUCUGAAUUUUUCCUCCUCCUCUCUAGAUGAACGAACCGUGGCUGGCAAUCACAUAGCAUCGCCGGUGACCGCGCGGCAGGUUACGUGCACCGUUGCCUGCUGGAUUCUUCGUAACCUAGCCUAGCUAAGGUAGCAUCGCCUUGAGAGCGGACUAAUGUAAUGGUUUUCUCCUACUUUGGACAAGAGGCUAAAAAGAAGCCCAAGGUAUAGUGCUCCUGUCAUCAGUACAAGAGAUCAAGGUACUACAGUAGAUGUCAUAAUCCUAUCUUAAUCUAUUAGUAGUAUUAAUUCGAUCAUACACUGUUAAUAAAACAUCUAGUGCUCUUGUGACCUCUCAAGCGCACGUAAACCCCAUCAUUCGGCUAUCAGUGUAUCUGAUAUCCACAUCACCACAUCAGGACAACAUAUCAGGCAAACGUGCAUACGAUAAUUCUGCACGAGAGACGACAGGGUGCUACAAGAGUGUGCGUGAGGUGAGACGCCAUCAUCAUCAUGGCUGCCGAUCGAUCGAGCUCGUCGCUUUUCCGCUUGGUUAGCGCAGCGAAAUUCUCUGUCUUGACCACACACACUAAGCAGGACCACGUAUAUGCGCUUGUCUGUGUCUGACAGGGACUCACUAACAGAUCCUUCCAUUAGCAACUACUACAAGCCUUUGGGCCAUGCAGCUUCCAUUGUCAGCAAAUCCUUUUCAACUCCCGCUGAAGAGAGCUUUUGCUUUAUUCUUCUUUCGAUCUAAUCUAAUCUCCAUGCAAAAUCAGUCACAUGAUCCACCUGCCUGAAAGGUGAUCCACGAUGGCACCAUCGCCAUCUUGCAUGUGGCUAGCAUGGAGUCGUUGGGAGACCGGGAGGAGAGAGGCUGGACCUAGAGCUCACUAGCUCCUGCCAUGCAACGGUUCGGUUUGCGGCCGAGAUGGUGGUGGUGGUGGUGUCUGCGUCGAUCAUUAGCCCGCCGUUUAAGCAACCUGAAGAGCUGCUCCAUUGCAAAGAUCUGGAUCUCAGGUAGGUUUUCGUCGCAACUGAAAUCGCAAGCAAGUGGGCUGCAAAUGUACUUGUUCUCUCUGUCUUAAACAUGAAAACUUCAGAUGUUUUUUUUUCUUUUGAAAAACAAGGACAAAAGCUUUGCCACCUUUUUCAUUAGUUAAGAAAGAAGUUUAGACAUGAAAGAAAAAAAAA
RNAcentral lists this long non-coding RNA (33091 nucleotides) under Triticum aestivum (bread wheat). Its description in RNAcentral is "long non-coding RNA (TAES_LNC010789)". The record is from RNAcentral. Lineage: Eukaryota; Viridiplantae; Streptophyta; Magnoliopsida; Poales; Poaceae.